RNAcentral lists this ribosomal RNA (253 nucleotides) under uncultured bacterium. RNAcentral's name for it is "partial 16S ribosomal RNA". It matches the Rfam family "Bacterial small subunit ribosomal RNA", at positions 524 to 776 of the family's 1533-position model. The record is from RNAcentral.
GACGAACCGUGCGAACGUUGUUCGGAAUCACUGGGCUUAAAGGGCGCGUAGGCGGUUGAUCAAGUCCGGGGUGAAAUCUUUCGGCUUAACCGGAAAAGUGCCUUGGAUACUGGUCAGCUGGAGGGAGGUAGGGGCAGUUGGAACUUCCAGUGGAGCGGUGAAAUGCGUUGAUAUUGGAAGGAACGCCGGUGGCGAAAGCGAGCUGCUGGACCUCUUCUGACGCUGAUGCGCGAAAGCUAGGGGAGCAAACGGG